AUGUUUUCGAAGAAUACAGCCAUGGAGAUCGCUCCUGAAAACUACCUCAUUGUUACCAAAAAUGGAAAUGUGUGCUUGGGCAUUCUUGACGGGUCGGUGGCCAAACUUAAUUUCAACAUAAUUGGAGAUAUCACAAUGCAGGAUCAGUUGGUAAUUUAUGACAAUGAGAAAGGGAAACUUGGAUGGAUCCGUGGAUCAUGCAGUAGGGGCACUAAGUAUAGUAUAUCUUCAUUUACAUGGUAUUUGCUUAUAAUCCAACUGUUAGCCCAUCCGUUAAAAAGCUGGAUAUAUCAUUAUUGA
RNAcentral lists this ribosomal RNA (300 nucleotides) under Triticum aestivum (bread wheat). RNAcentral describes it as "partial small subunit ribosomal RNA". The record is from RNAcentral. Lineage: Eukaryota; Viridiplantae; Streptophyta; Magnoliopsida; Poales; Poaceae.